This is a long non-coding RNA of Apteryx haastii (Great spotted kiwi), 2579 nucleotides long. The record is from Ensembl. NCBI's taxonomy places the organism in Eukaryota, Metazoa, Chordata, Aves, Apterygiformes, Apterygidae.
UGCACUAAGGUGUGCUUCCACUGAACCUACCUGAAACACCGCAAGCACUAAUUCAUCUCUGUUACAGACCAUUAAUAUUUUUGGUCCUCUCAGCUCCAUGGGCAAACAGCCGCAGCCAAUGACACCAGUAACCACCUAGGGCAAAACCACCUUCCACCUCCCAGCCCUGUUCACAUACAGUGCAGCCCCAGGACUUAGCUGUGUCCACGCUGCAAGUCAGAGCUCAUCCUCCAUGGCCAGCCGCAGAUCUCCACAGAGCUCCCAGCUGUGACAACGCUCCUUCGAUGCAGAGGCCCGAACGAGACCGUGGAGACCCACGCAAGUACGUACGAGCCUGUACAAAGCCCAUACAAGGCCUGUAUGAGCUUGUAGAGGUCUUUAUGAACUCGUACGAGCCCGUGAAGGCCCGCAGGAGCCCGUACAAGCCUGUACAAGGCCUGUACAAGCCCGUAGAGGCCCAUACGAGUCUGUAUGAGCCCGUGCAGCCUGCAUGAGCCCGUGUGAGCCAGUACAAACCUGUACGAAGUCUGUACGAGACUGCAGAGCCCCCUAUGAGCCCAUAUGAGCCCUUUAAGGCCCACACAAGCCCGUAGAGGCCCAUACGAGCCCGUGGAGACCCGUACGAGCCCGUAGAGAUCCACACAAGCCCAUGGAGACCCGCAUGAGCCUUUAUGAGCCCGUAUGAGGCCUAUACAAGAUCGUGCAAGCCCAUGGAGGCCCGCACAAGGCUAAACGAGCCUGUACGAGCCCAUAUGAAGCCUGUAUAAGCCUGCAGAUUCCUGUACGAGUCUGCACAAGCUGUGGGGACCCAUGCGAGUUUGUACGAGGCCCGUAUGAGUCCAUAGAGGACCAUACAAACCCACAUGAGCCCGUGGAGGCCUGCAUGAGCUUGCAGGAGCCCAUACGAGCCUGUAGAGGUCUGUACGAGCCUGUAGAGUCCCAUACAAGCCCGUACAAGCCUCUACAGGAUCCUACUGGCCUUGUACAGGCCUCGUACGGGCCUUUACAGGUUCGUUCGGGCCUCACACGGGCUUGUGCGGGCCUCCACAGCCUCAUACAGGCUCGUAUGGGCUCAUGCAGACCUCCAUGGGCUCAUACGGGCUUGUACAGGCUCGUGCGGGCCUCCACAACCUCGCAGGAGCUCACACAGGCCUCUACAGGCUUAUACAGGCCUCGUACAGGCUUGUGCAGGCCUCCAUGGGCUCGCAUGGGCCUCCUAUGGGCUUGUAUGGGCUCAUGCGGGCCUCCAUGGGCUUGCACAGGCUCGCACAGGCCUUGUACCAGAUCAUACAAGCUCAUGCAGGCCUCCACAGGCUCACAAGGGCUUGCACAGGCCUCUACAGGCUCGUACGGGCUCGCACGGGCCUCUACAGGGUCGCAUGGGCCUUGUACGGGCUCGUACGGGUUCAUGCGGGCUUCCACGGGCUUGUACAGGCCUCUACGGGCUCGCAUAGGCCUCCUUUGGGCUCGUAAAGGCUCAUGUGGGCCUCCACGGGCUUGCACGAGCUCUCACGGACCUCUAUGGGGUCACACAGACCUCGUACGGGCUCGUAUGGGCUCGUGCAGGCCUUUAUGGGCUCGUUUGUGCUCGUGCAUACUGUACGGACUCUUAUGGGCCUCUACAGUGUGGGAUGGGCUCGCAUGGGUUUGUGGGGGCCUCUACAGGCUUUUACGGGCCUGUUAAGACUUCUACAGGCUCAUAUCAUCUUGUUCUGGCCUCUACAGGCUCUUACAGGCCUCUUCUUAAAGGCUCGUACGGGCCUCUUUGGGCUCCUGUGGGCCUCUACAGGCUCUCAUGCCAGCUCGAACCCGUACGAGCCCGUCCCAGCACGUGCUUAGGUUGGGCUCUACGGGCUCGUACGGCGUUGUCACUGGCUCUAGCAGCUCGUCCCCCCCGUCCGCUGUCAGAAUCCGCAAAAAGCCCCAAUUUGGAGGUUUCUCUUUCCAAAACGGGCCCCGCCGACAGCCCUACUCCGCCGCGGGCGCCAUGGCGAGCCACGCCGGAGUGUCGCCCGUCACUUCCGCCCGGCCUCGGCCGGAUGUCGAGAUGCCUCUUUCCGCCUCGGUAGCCGCAGGGAUGACGGCGGCACUUCCGGUCCCUCGGCUCUGAUUGGGCGAUGCGGGCCGGGCGGGAUUUCCCGCAGGGCCGCUUCCUGUUUCCGGUAGGGGGUGGCGGGUGGUGGUCGGCGGGGUCUCGGGGGGCGCCGCUGCCAAAUAGUGAGAACCGGAGUCUCGUCUUGGGGCGGGCUGGGGCUGACGGAUAGUGAUCCCGCCCGGUUCCCUGACUUGGCGGGGUGCUCGCGUGCCCCGGUGGGGUGGUGCUCGGGCGCCUGGGUCCCUUUAGAGGAGGGAGGGCGACCCUUGGCUCGCUUUCCGCGGGGCCCGGACGCCUGGGUCCCUUUGGCGGGGGGGAGGAGCGGCCCUUGGGUCCCUAGCGGGGGAGGAGGGGGCGGACGCCUGGGUCCUCAGGCCGCCCCCCCCGGCCCAGGCCGCCAUGAGCCUGCAGUGGACCGCGGUGGCGACCUUCCUCUACGCUGAGGUCUUCCUCGUCCUGCUGCUCUGCGUCCCCUUCGUCUCAG